AACGAACGCUGGCGGCAUGCCUAACACAUGCAAGUCGAACGAGACCUUCGGGUCUAGUGGCGCACGGGUGCGUAACGCGUGGGAACCUGCCCUUAGGUUCGGAAUAACUCCCCGAAAGGGGUGCUAAUACCGGAUAAUGUCUUCGGACCAAAGAUUUAUCGCCUUUGGAUGGGCCCGCGUUGGAUUAGCUAGUUGGUAGGGUAAAAGCCUACCAAGGCGACGAUCCAUAGCUGGUCUGAGAGGAUGAUCUGCCACACUGGGACUGAGACACGGCCCAGAAUCCUACGGGAGGCAGCAGUGGGGAAUAUUGGACAAUGGGCGAAAGCCUGAUCCAGCAAUGCCGCGUGAGUGAUGAAGGCAUUAGGGUUGUAAAGCUCUUUUACCCGGGAUGAUAAUGACAGUACCGGGAGAAUAAGCUCCGGCUAACUCCGUG
This 433-nucleotide ribosomal RNA is filed under the name uncultured bacterium. RNAcentral's name for it is "partial 16S ribosomal RNA". It matches the Rfam family "Bacterial small subunit ribosomal RNA", at positions 29 to 507 of the family's 1533-position model. The record is from RNAcentral.